UGUGCACGCCCAAGUGCUUUCACACAAUCCAUCUCACCCCUUUUGUGCAUCACCGCGUGGGUCCCCUUUCGUGGGUGGGCUUGCGUUUUCACAUAAAACUUGAUACAGUAUAGAAUGUUUUUUUUGCAGUUACAUGCAAUCAAUACAACUUUCAACAACGGAUCUCUUGGCUCUCGCAUCGAUGAAGAACGCAGCGAAAUGCGAUACGUAAUGUGAAUUGCAGAAUUCAGUGAAUCAUCGAAUCUUUGAACGCACCUUGCGCCCCUUGGCAUUCCGAGGGGCACACCCGUUUGAGUGUCGUGAAAUUCUCAAAACCCUUUUCUUUCUGGAAAAGGAUUUUUGGACUUGGAGGUUCCAUGCUUGCCUUCUACUUUUGAAAGCGAGCUCCUCUCAAAUAAAUUAGUGGGGUCCACUUUGCUGAUCCUUGACGUGAUAAGAUGUUUCUACGUUUUGGAUUUAGUAUUGUCUUUUGGAUGCCUGCUCCUAACUGUCUCACAGACAAUGAUGGUGCUCUGGUCACUGCCAUCUAUAUUGGCGGGAGGCUGGACCCACAAAAAAAAACCUUGACCUCAAAUCGGGUGAGACUACCCGCUGAACUUAAGCAUAUCAAUAAGCGG
RNAcentral lists this ribosomal RNA (617 nucleotides) under uncultured Russula. Its description in RNAcentral is "eukaryotic LSU rRNA". The stretch from base 147 to 300 matches the Rfam family "5.8S ribosomal RNA". The record is from RNAcentral. Lineage: Eukaryota; Fungi; Basidiomycota; Agaricomycetes; Russulales; Russulaceae.